CGGCAACAGCUCAAAUUUGAAAUCUGGCGCAAGCCCGAGUUGUAAUUUGUAGAGGAUGCUUCUAGGCAGCGGCCGUUCUAAGUUCCUUGGAACAGGACGUCAUAGAGGGUGAGAAUCCCGUAUGUGACCGGCACGCACCUUGUACGUAGCUCCUUCGACGAGUCGAGUUGUUUGGGAAUGCAGCUCUAAAUGGGAGGUAAAUUUCUUCUAAAGCUAAAUACCGGCUGGAGACCGAUAGCGCACAAGUAGAGUGAUCGAAAGAUGAAAAGCACUUUGGAAAGAGAGUUAAAAAGCACGUGAAAUUGUUGAAAGGGAAGCGCCUGCAACCAGACUUCGCGGCAGUGUUCCGCCGGUCUUCUGACCGGUCUAUUCUCUGUCGCGAGGCCAUCAUCGUCUGGGGCCGCCGGAUAAGACUGGAGGAAUGUAGCUCCCCUCGGGGAGUGUUAUAGCUUCCAGUGAUGCGGCGUGUCUCGGGCGAGGUCCGCGCUUCGGCAAGGAUGAUGGCGUAAUGGUUGUCGGCGGCCCGUCUUGAAACACGGACCAAGGAGUCUAACAUCUAUGCGAGUGUUCGGGUGUCAAACCCCUACGCGUAAUGAAAGUGAACGGAGGUGGGAACUUUUUGUGCACCAUCGACCGAUCCUGAUGUCCUCGGAUGGAUUUGAGUAAGAGCAUAGCUGUUGGGACCCGAAAGAUGGUGAACUAUGCCUGAAUAGGGUGAAGCCAGAGGAAACUCUGG
RNAcentral lists this ribosomal RNA (736 nucleotides) under Pseudocercospora crystallina. RNAcentral describes it as "eukaryotic LSU rRNA". It matches the Rfam family "Eukaryotic large subunit ribosomal RNA", at positions 99 to 867 of the family's 3401-position model. Lineage: Eukaryota; Fungi; Ascomycota; Dothideomycetes; Mycosphaerellales; Mycosphaerellaceae. The record is from RNAcentral.